AAAUUUUACUCUAGACUGUCCUAAAAGAAUUCCCCUCCCUUCCAUUCUGGGGAGCAGAAGUUAAAAUUAGGGCCAACCCUGCGGGACUGACAUGCCAGAUGCAGAGAGGCUGUCCCCUGAAAUAAGCUGGUUCCCACCGCGGAUGGGCGGGGCAGGCGCCUCUGGUCCCAACCAGCGGAGGGACUGCUGGAAGGCCUGCCCCUUCCAAGUGUCAGCAAGAGGUCUGGUCCCAAGCUUUAAAAUCCUGAAGGAAGGCACCUCGUGCCGACCUCUCCUCUCCUCUCCUCUCCUCUCCUCCAGCGGUGGCUAGCUGCUAAAAACUGUGAGGUCGUGUCCCUGAGCAGCUCCCGCGUCGCCUGGGACAAGGGGGCCCCCGCGCGGUUUGACCGCCCGCUGAAGCCCAGCGUCGCGACGCUCUCCACACAGGCACCUCCAGCUUGCCACUCCGCCCGCUUUGCAAAGUUGGGUAGCUCCAGGAGCAAACUUUGCCUCUGGGCUUCUCCCUCCUGGGCCCCAGUGCCCCCGCCUCCCCGCUCCCUUUCACCACCAGCAGCCGGUCCCGGACUUGGCAGCCUGCAUCCCUUGCCCAGCCCUGCUCCCUGAAGCACGACCAUGCUGCUAAGGGGCGUCCUCCUGGUGGUGCAAGCCCUGCAGCUUGCUGGUGCCUUGGACCUGCCCGCUGGGUCCUGUGCCUUUGAAGAGGGCACUUGUGCCUUUGACUCGGUGUUUGCAUUUCUGCCAUGGAUUUUAAAUGAGGAAGGCCAUUAUGUUUAUGUGGAUGCCUCCUUUGCCAAGCAGGGAGAGAAAGCUGUGCUGCUCAGCUCUGACUUACAGGCAGAGGAGUGGAGCUGUCUCCGCUUGGUCUACCAGAUAACUGCGGCUCCAGGGCCUCCAUCACAUCCCAGCCAGCUGAACCUCUACGUGAGAUUCGAGGAUGAAAGCUUUGACCGCUUGCUUUGGUCAGCUAAGAAACCUUCAGACAGCUGGCUCAUAGCCAGCCUGGAUUUGCCAAACAGUUCCAAGAAAUUCAAGAUUUUAAUAGAAGGCAUCCUAGGACAGGGAAACACAACCAGCAUUGCACUCUUUGAAAUCAAGAUGACAACUGGCUACUGUAUCGAGUGUGACUUUGAAGAAAAUCAUCUCUGUGGCUUUGUGAACCGCUGGAAUCCCAACGUGAACUGGUUUGUUGGAGGUGGAACUAUUCGGAACUCCCACUCCAUUCUCCCACAGGAUCACACCUUCAAGAAUGAACUGGGCCACUACAUGUACGUGGACUCGGUUUACGUCAAGCACUUCCAGGAGGUGGCUCAGCUCAUCUCCCCCAUGACCACGGCCCCCAUGUCUGGCUGCCUGUCCUUCUAUUACCAGCUCCAGCAGGGGAAUGACAACGUCUUUUCCCUUUACACUCGGGAUGUGGCCGGCCUGUAUGAGGAGAUCUGGAAAGUGGACAAUCCAGGGAACGCAGACUGGAACCUUGCAGAGGUCGAGUUCAGCGCUCCUUACCCCAUGGAGGUUAUCUUUGAGGUUGCUUUCAAUGGUCCCAAAGGAGGAUAUGUUGCCCUGGAUGAUAUUUCUUUCUCUCCUGUGAGCUGCCAAAAUCAGACAGAGCUUCCUUUCAGUGCUGUGGAAGCAAGCUGCAAUUUUGAGGAAGAUCUCUGCAACUUUUACCAAGAUAAAGAAGGUCCAGGUUGGACCCGAGUGAAAGUAAAGCCAAACGUGUAUCGGGCUGGAGAUCACACUACAGGCUUUGGAUAUUACUUGCUGGCCAACACAAAGUUUACUUCUCAGCCUGGCUACAUUGGAAGGCUUUAUGGUCCCUCCUUACCUGGAAACUUACAGUAUUGCCUACGUUUUUAUUAUGCCAUCUAUGGGUUUUUGAAAAUGAGUGACACCUUAGCAGUUUAUAUCUUUGAAGAAAAUCAUGUAGUUCAAGAGAAGAUUUGGUCCCUGCUUGAGUCCCCAAGAGGUGUUUGGAUGCAAGCUGAAAUCACCUUUAAGAAGCCCAUGCCUACCAAGGUGGUUUUCAUGAGCUUAUGCAAAAGUUUUUGGGACUGUGGUCUUGUGGCCCUGGAUGAUAUUACAAUACAACUGGGAAGCUGCUGGUCUCCAGAGAGACUUCCACCUCCACCUGGAGAGUGUACAUUUGAUCAAGAUGAAUGUGCAUUUACGCAGGAGAAAAGAAACCGGAGCAGCUGGCACAGGAGGAGGGGAGAAACUCCUACUUCCUACACAGGACCUAAGGGAGAUCACACUACUGGGGCUACUACAUGUACAUCGAGGCCUCCCAUAUGGUGUAUGGACAAAAAGCACAUCUCCGGUCCAAGCCUCUGCGAGGCAUCCCUGGAAAACACUGCUUGACCUUCUUCUACCACAUGUAUGGAGCAGGGACUGGCCUGCUGAGUGUUUACUUGAAGAAAGAAGAAGACAGUGAAGAGUCGCUUUUAUGGAGAAGAAGAGGUGAGCAGAGCAUUUCCUGGCUCCGAGCGCUGAUUGAGUACAGCUGUAUGCAGCAACACCAGAUAAUUUUUGAAGCCAUUCGGGGAGCAUCAAUAAGAAGUGAUAUUGCUAUUGAUGAUGUUAAAUUUCAGGCAGGACCCUGUACAGAAGUGGAAGAUACAACUCAACAAUCAUCAGGAUAUUCUGAGGAUUUAAAUGCAAUUGAGUAUUAAAACAUGAUCUGAAUUGGAUUAAUUAGACAAAAGUUGUACCUCUCUUCAAUCAAAAUGAAAAUGAAACAAAUGAAUACUGGACGGUCUUAAUCAUUUUAUAAGUUAUAAGAUGACUUCAGAGCAAUCCUUUUCAUUACUUUUGCAAAAAAAUACUGACUCAGGGCUUUUUAUUUUUUUCCUUGCAUUUGACAACUGUUACUAGGAGUACAGGCUGUUGGUUUUGAAUAGAUCAUUCAUCUUAAUUUUGGUACCAGUUAAAAUACAAAUGUGCUUAUAGUCAUUUUAAAGUAUUCAAAUAAAGGGCACAAUCAAAAUGAGUGUGCUCACUUAAAUCUGCAUUCAGUGAAUGUAUUGAGAGAAUAGGUUUUGUGGGGUUUUAUUUGAAUUUCAAGUAGAUCAUCAACAUUUUUAAAGUAAAUAAUGUGGGGUAUCAGUAAUAUCUGCAGAAUGAAUGCAGUUUUCCAUGGAAACAAGUUAGACAGGAAAAGUGAAGUCUUAUUUUCUAUGUUUUAUUCAUAGAAAUGGAGCAUUAAUUUUUAAUAUUUUUCACCAUAUGUGAUAACAAAGGAUCUUUCUUGAAAUCCCAGGGUAAGUCAGUAUUAAUUAAUGCUGCAUUACAAGUUAUGCUACCUUCUUUUUUCUCCCUUUAAACUACCUUUGAAAGUCACUAUGAGCACAUGGAUAGAAAUUGCACUCUUUUUUUUAAUAAAGCAAGCUUGAAAUUUUUUAUGUACACACAUCCAAUAAUUUUUAUAAAUUUGUUCAACAAUUUGACUGAUUUUUGUAACAAAUGUUUUGGUAAAGUUUUGAGUAAUAUGAAUUCAAUCAGAUAUACUAAACUACUGCUUUUUUAUUUACCUGAUUGGAAAAUUGUAUAUAUUAUAUAUGUUUGUGUAUUAAUACAGCUGUUGUGAAAUCAUAAAUUACCUAAUAAAAGAUAAUUUGAAAAAUCUU
Non-coding RNA from Ictidomys tridecemlineatus (thirteen-lined ground squirrel), 3623 nucleotides. The record is from RefSeq and is a predicted model, not a curated record. NCBI's taxonomy places the organism in Eukaryota, Metazoa, Chordata, Mammalia, Rodentia, Sciuridae.